AUUGCCUCAGUAACGGCGAGUGAAGCGGCAACAGCUCAAAUUUGAAAUCUGGCGCAAGCCCGAGUUGUAAUUUGCAGAGGAUGUUUCGGGUGAAGCCACGGUCCAAGUCCCUUGGAACAGGACGUCAUAGAGGGUGAGAACCCCGUACCUGGCCGUCGGUGCCCCCCGCUGUGAAACUCCUUCGACGAGUCGAGUUGUUUGGGAAUGCAGCUCUAAAUUGGUGGUAAAUUCCAUCUAAAGCUAAAUACCGGCCAGAGACCGAUAGCGCACAAGUAGAGUGAUCGAAAGAUGAAAAGCACUUUGAAAAGAGAGUUAAAAAGUACGUGAAAUUGUUGAAAGGGAAGCGCUUGCGGCCAGACUUGCCCGCGGUUGCUCAGCCCGCCUUUUGGCGGGUGCACUCUUCCGCGGUCAGGCCAGCAUCGGUUUGGGCGGUCGGAUAAAGGCGUCGGGAACGUGGCCUCCCCUCGGGGAGGUGUUAUAGCCCGGCGCGCAAUGCGACCAGCCCGGACCGAGGUUCGCGCUUUGCUAGGAUGCUGGCGUAAUGGCCGUAAGCGGCCCGUCUUGAAACACGGACCAAGGAGUCUAACAUCUAUGCGAGUGUUUGGGUGUCAAACCCGUGCGCGUAAUGAAAGUGAACGGAGGUGGGAACCGCAAGGUGCACCAUCGACCGAUCCUGAUGUCUUCGGAAGGAUUUGAGUAAGAGCAUAGCUGUUGGGACCCGAAAGAUGGUGAACUAUGCGUGAAUAGGGUGAAGCCAGAGGAAACUCUGGUGGAGGCUCGCAGCGGUUCUGACGUGCAAAUCGAUCGUCAAAUUUGCGUAUAGGGGCGAAAGACUAAUCGAACCAUUUAGUAGCUGGUUCCUG
Molecule: ribosomal RNA, 863 nt
Filed under: Venturia fuliginosa
Lineage: Eukaryota; Fungi; Ascomycota; Dothideomycetes; Venturiales; Venturiaceae
Description: eukaryotic LSU rRNA
Rfam family: Eukaryotic large subunit ribosomal RNA
Source: RNAcentral